Long non-coding RNA from Aquila chrysaetos chrysaetos, 447 nucleotides. RefSeq lists it as uncharacterized. The transcript has 3 exons. The record is from RefSeq and is a predicted model, not a curated record. NCBI's taxonomy places the organism in Eukaryota, Metazoa, Chordata, Aves, Accipitriformes, Accipitridae.
ACUGGAAAAAAUGGCUUGUGGGCUUGCUCUGCUCACAGAAACCUUCCCUUGUAGCUAUAUAUAUUAAAGGGUGAAAAAUGCAGCAGGAUUUGGCAAAUGCGCUCCUGCUGAGAACACCACACUGGAAAUGCUUAUCAAAAACAGGCUGGCUCUUACCCUUCCAUCUCUGGAUGUUGAGAGGGGUAAACCUAUGGAGCUGCUCUGGUUAUUUUAUAUAGGUGCAAGUGAGAAGAUGUUGAGGUUGCUACACCACCAUGCACUGCAAAGAAAAGAAGAAAAAGAUGUAUUUACGUGGACAGGUAACACUCAAGCCGAAAAGAUUUAGCAGCAUUUUCAGAAAGAAUGACUCUGAACAUCCUUUCAGGUUAGUCAAGACUGCUGAAUACUUUGGGACUGGCGGGGUGUCUGGUAAGGAAGACCUAACCAUAGAAUUCUAGUAUGCUGGGG